This 490-nucleotide ribosomal RNA is filed under the name uncultured bacterium. RNAcentral describes it as "partial 16S ribosomal RNA". It matches the Rfam family "Bacterial small subunit ribosomal RNA", at positions 30 to 507 of the family's 1533-position model. The record is from RNAcentral.
AUUGAACGCUGGCGGCAUGCUUUACACAUGCAAGUCGGACGGCAGCGGGGUAGUGCUUGCACUACUCCCGGCGAGUGGCGAACGGGUGAGUAAUAUAUUGGAACGUACCGAGUAAUGGGGGAUAACCAAUCGAAAGAUUGGCUAAUACCGCAUACGCUCUGAGGAGGAAAGCAGGGGACCUUCGGGCCUUGCGUUAUUCGAGCGGCCAAUAUCUGAUUAGCUAGUUGGUGGGGUAAGGGCCUACCAAGGCGACGAUCAGUAGCGGGUCUGAGAGGAUGAUCCGCCACACUGGGACUGAGACACGGCCCAGGCUCCUACGGGAGGCAGCAGUGGGGAAUUUUGGACAAUGGGCGCAAGCCUGAUCCAGCCAUGCCGCGUGUCUGAAGAAGGCCUUCGGGUUGUAAAGGACUUUUGUUAGGGAAGAAAAAGGAGCGGUUAAUACCCGUUUCUGCUGACGGUACCUAAAGAAUAAGCACCGGCUAACUACGUG